CAGCCUCGGUAAUACGUAGGUUGCGAGCGUUGUCCGGAAUUACUGGGCGUAAAGAGCUCGUAGGUGGUUUCUCGCGUUGUUCGUGAAAUGCCACAGCUUAACUGUGGGCGUGCGGGCGAUACGGGCAGACUGGAGUACUGCAGGGGAGACUGGGAUUCCUGGUGUAGCGGUGGAAUGCGCAGAUAUCAGGAGGAACACCGGUGGCGAAGGCGGGUCUCUGGCCAGUAACUGACGCUGAGGAGCGAAAGCGUGGGGAGCGAACAGGAUUAGAUACCCUGGUAGUCCACGCCGUAAACGGUGGGUACUAGGUGUGGGUUUCCUUCCUUGGGAUCCGUGCCGUAGCUAACGCAUUAA
Molecule: ribosomal RNA, 354 nt
Filed under: uncultured soil bacterium
Lineage: Bacteria
Description: bacterial SSU rRNA
Rfam family: Bacterial small subunit ribosomal RNA
Source: RNAcentral